UUUCCGUAGGUGAACCUGCGGAAGGAUCAUUAAAAAAUUGGACUCCAUUGGUGAGUUCAUUAAUAAUCCUACCCUUUGUGAAUUUGUUUGUUUGAAUAAUUUUUUUUCCAAAAAAAAUUAUUGAAUGUCUUUCCCUGUUUUGGUGGAGCUUGUAAAGUGAAACCAGGCAGGGGAAUGGCAAACAAUAAUUAUUUUUGAAAAAGACCUUUUUUAAAAUUAAACUUUUUGUAUUCAUUUGUCUAAAAUUAUUUUUAUAAUAUAAAAACAACUUUUGACAAUGGAUCUCUUGGUUCUCGCAACGAUGAAGAACGCAGCAAAAUGCGAUAAGUAGUGUGAAUUGCAGAAUACGUGAAUCAUCGAAUCUUCGAACGCAUAUUGCACUUUUUUAGUUUACUAAAAAAGUAUGUCUGUUUGAGUAUCAGUAAAAUAUUCUCAUAAAAAAUUAUUUUUUAUGGUUAUGAGUGUUUUACAACGAUAACAAGUUGUUUCACUUUAAAUUCUUUGUUAUCAAAAAAAUCAUUAAAAGCUAAUUUUAAAGAUUUUUUAAAAUUGGAUAAAAUUUUCCCGUAAAAAGGAAUAACCUAAACAAUUUUAAAAAAUUAAAAUUGGUUUGAUUUUUCUUGAUUUAAAAAGGAAAAAAAAGUAAAAAUUAACUUGAUCUCAAAUCAGAUAAGAGUACCCGCUGAACUUAAGCAUAUCAAUAAGCGGAGGAAAAGAAACUAACUAGGAUUCCCUCAGUAACGGCGAGUGAAGCGGGAAGAGCUCAAAUUUGAAAUCUUCAAGGUUUUACCUUGACGAAUUGUAGUUUAAAGAAGUGUUUUCUGUUGGAGUUUUGGUAAAAGUUCUUUGGAAAAGGACAUCAUAGAGGGUGAGAAUCCCGUAUUUGACCAUUAUCUCCAGCUUUGUGAUACACUUUCAAAGAGUCGGAUUGUUUGGGAAUGCAGUCCAAAAUGGGUGGUAAAUUUCAUCUAAAGCUAAAUACUGGCGAGUGACCGAUAGCGAACAAGUACCGUGAGGGAAAGAUGAAAAGAACUUUGAAAAGAGAGUUAAACAGUACGUGAAAUUGUCAAAAGGGAAGCGUUUGACACCAGUGUUGUUUUCUCGAAAAUCAAUUAAAAAAGGCCGGAUUUUGUGUUGUAUUGACUUUAUCAGCUUUCUGCACUUUUUUCUUGUCUUUUUUAAUGCACUUUUCGUUUAACGAGUCAACAUCAAUUUCUUUUGUUGUAAAAGGGUCAUUGGAAGGUGGCUUUCUUUUCGGAGAAAGUGUUUAUAGCCUUUGGCCUCUGCAAUCGGAGAGAUUGAGGUCUGCAGCGUAGAUCCUUCGGGGUUAGAUACAUUUGUGCUAAGCUACAGCUUUUCAUAGACAACUUGUUGACUAUGUUUAGUCUUGUAACUUACCCGCUUAUGCUAUUUUACCUACGCUUAGGAUGUUG
This 1433-nucleotide unclassified non-coding RNA is filed under the name uncultured Neocallimastigales. RNAcentral describes it as "partial contains small subunit ribosomal RNA, internal transcribed spacer 1, 5.8S ribosomal RNA, internal transcribed spacer 2, and large subunit ribosomal RNA". The stretch from base 656 to 1433 matches the Rfam family "Eukaryotic large subunit ribosomal RNA", at positions 1 to 628 of the family's 3401-position model. Lineage: Eukaryota; Fungi; Neocallimastigomycota; Neocallimastigomycetes; Neocallimastigales. The record is from RNAcentral.